AUACGAAGGGUGCAAGCGUUAAUCGGAAUUACUGGGCGUAAAGCGCGCGUAGGUGGUUCGUUAAGUUGGAUGUGAAAGCCCCGGGCUCAACCUGGGAACUGCAUCCAAAACUGGCGAGCUAGAGUAUAGCAGAGGGUGGUGGAAUUUCCUGUGUAGUGGUGAAAUGCGUAGAUAUAGGAAGGAACACCAGUGGCGAAGGCGUCUACCUGGACUGAUACUGACACUGAGGUGCGAAAGCUUGGGGAGCAAACAGGAUUAGAUUCCCUGGUAGUCCACGCCGUAAACGAUGUCAACUAGCCGUUGGGAUCCUUGAGAUCUUAGUGGCGCAGCUAACGCAUUAAGUUGACCGCCUGGGGAGUACGGCCGCAAGGUUGAAACUCAAAGGAAUUGACGGG
Molecule: ribosomal RNA, 395 nt
Filed under: uncultured bacterium
Lineage: Bacteria
Description: partial 16S ribosomal RNA
Rfam family: Bacterial small subunit ribosomal RNA
Source: RNAcentral